This 166-nucleotide unclassified non-coding RNA is filed under the name soil metagenome. Its description in RNAcentral is "partial contains 5.8S ribosomal RNA, internal transcribed spacer 2, and large subunit ribosomal RNA". The record is from RNAcentral.
AACGCACGAGACCUGCGGACCUGCGGAGGGAUCAUUAGUGAACGCCCUCACGGGCUUAUAACUGUUCCAAACCUCUGUGAACCGUGCCCUUCGGGGCUAUUUUACAAACAUGGUGUAAUGAACGUCAUAUAUCAUAACAAAACAAAACUUUUAACAACGGAUCUCU